GCCGACGAAGCUCAACAGGUAGAGCAGCCGCCUUGUAAGCGACAGGUAGCCGGUUCAAGUCCGGCCGUCGGCUCCA
RNAcentral lists this transfer RNA (76 nucleotides) under Phytohabitans aurantiacus. RNAcentral's name for it is "Micromonospora sp. RD004123 tRNA-Thr". It matches the Rfam family "tRNA". From Rfam's summary of the family: Transfer RNA (tRNA) molecules are approximately 80 nucleotides in length. Their secondary structure includes four short double-helical elements and three loops (D, anti-codon, and T loops). Further hydrogen bonds mediate the characteristic L-shaped molecular structure. tRNAs have two regions of fundamental functional importance: the anti-codon, which is responsible for specific mRNA codon recognition, and the 3' end, to which the tRNAs corresponding amino acid is attached (by aminoacyl-tRNA synthetases). tRNAs cope with the degeneracy of the genetic code in two manners: having more than one tRNA (with a specific anti-codon) for a particular amino acid; and 'wobble' base-pairing, i.e. permitting non-standard base-pairing at the 3rd anti-codon position. Lineage: Bacteria; Bacillati; Actinomycetota; Actinomycetes; Micromonosporales; Micromonosporaceae. The record is from RNAcentral.